Molecule: long non-coding RNA, 1399 nt
Organism: Poecilia latipinna (sailfin molly)
Lineage: Eukaryota; Metazoa; Chordata; Actinopteri; Cyprinodontiformes; Poeciliidae
Exons: 2
Source: RefSeq, a predicted model, not a curated record
UCCUGAUGAUUGCCAUAUCAGGUAGAGUUAAACCACUGAAGCCUCUCUGUGCUUGUCUUUGAGUCAGGUCUAAUGAUAGGAAUGGUUUCCAUACCACACCAGUUCUCCAGUCUGGCUCCCUUUCGAGUCGCCUUAGCGCUCUAACCUCCUCAUUGUCCUCGGCUCCAUCUCCUCCUGCCUGCCUGCUCUCCCAUGUUUCUGUUCAGAACAAAAGAUGCAAUCCUCAUCAGCUCACAAAACGCCUACCUCCAGGUUGCUCCUUCACACUGAGACACCAAGCUGGAAGCUCCGUUCACAUUCAUCCGACCUCAAGAUCAGCUCAGACUCAGUUCUUUAUCUAACCUGUCCUCCAUUCAGCUCUUUACCAAAGAGUUCUGUCUGUUAAAUAAUUGCCCCCAACUGAAAUGUCCUGGAAUGUGAGUCUCAGCAAGAACAAGAGAAGUGAAGGGACGAGUGGAAGAGGAACCAUGCAGCAGAAGGAUUCAUCUGACUGUCAGCAGACAGAACGAAUGAAGCCCCCGGGACGCAGGCUUACACCCUCUGUGUGCUGCCCUUCACAGGACUGAUAGAUGGAAGUGUGACAUUAAAAUGGUAAUGACUCAUGGGAGACCUGACAAGAGAAUGCUGGGUGACCUUUGACCUUUGAUAGACCACAGUGUUACUGAGGAGCUGACAGAGAGGAUGGAGAAAGAACUGCCCAGUGUUUUCCUGCAGGUCAAAUAUCAUCCUGACUAAAAGUGUAAAAAAAAAAUACCUAAAAGUGUGGGGGGAAAAAACAUCCCAAACUGUCUUUUCAUGUAUGUCAAAGUGAAAAUAUAGUUUUGACACUUAUUUGAUUUUUCUAUUUCACACUGAAAAACAUCUGUAUAAUAUGUCUGUAACUGAAGCUAAGCUGCUACCUUAGAGCCAACAUGUAAAAGGAAAAACAUUACAGGGUUUUCCUUUGUAGCAGGUAGCAAGAAGGUCCUGGGUUCAAAUCCUGUGCAUGUCUGCGUUCUCUCCAGAUAUCCCAGCUUCACUGAUAAAACUACCUCUUAAAAAAUUGCAAAAAUAUAAUAGCUUUGUAUGCAUUCAAUGAGUACGUCUUAAAAUAUUCCCACAUUGGUGUAAUUUUGGAUUAUAAAAGUAAAAAUUGAGAUGGUUUGACUAACACAAUAACAUUUAAUUUAAUAUUAUUUACUCUUAUCUUGAUGUUUUAUUUCUGUGGCUCGCUAGACUCCAACAGACCCCAGGAGUGGCUAUGACCUGCAGACGGGUCUGAGUCUGACUCAUUUGUUUGUAAUUGAAAUCAGUUUUCACCUUUUUGGGUUUUUUUUGCAACUUUAUUUUGAUUAAAUUGCCAUAUUAUGUUGAUCAUUAUUGAUUUGUAAAUGCAAUAAAAGAUGAUGAAUAAUUUUAA